Molecule: long non-coding RNA, 1383 nt
Organism: Cyprinus carpio (common carp)
Lineage: Eukaryota; Metazoa; Chordata; Actinopteri; Cypriniformes; Cyprinidae
Source: Ensembl
GGCUGAUAUUGAAUACUGAAUUGCAGAUGCCUGAUUUUUUUAUUUAUAUGAAAUAUUUGAGAGUGUCGUUGAGAUGUUUCACAUCCCAAAAAAAAUACAAUUUCUUGUGCAUUUGACAUGAACAUCUGGCGUGGUGAAUGUGUGUGUGUGUGUGUGUGUGUGUGUGUUUGUGUGUGUGUGUGUGUGUGUGUGUGUGUGUGUGUGUGUGAGCAUGUUUGUUCAUGUGUGCAUCUCAUGGUGUAAUCAGUGCUCUUAAUGAGCAUGUGUAAUUAUUAACAAUCAACCAAAGACUUGUUAGCAAAUCAUUCACUCUUUCUUCCGUUUUUUUUUUUUUUAUUAUCUUUUUUCAUUCAAGUCUCUGCUUUUGUCUCCUCCUGUUAAACCAAUAAAACAACCACCUCAUCAGUCUCUGUCAGGUGAAGUUCAUCUAUCAAGCUGUGAAGCAAUAGCUCAUCAAAUAAAGUUAAAUCAGAUUCUCGUCUAGCGGCAACAACCACACAUGGGUUUGGAUUUGGUUCUGAUGUGUUUACUUUCUCCAGCCGUUUGAAAAGAGCACAUUUGGUCCUCUGGCAGUGGUGAGGACCAAUCAGAGAACCCCACUUAAAAGGGUUUGGUUAGACCUAAACAGUCCAAGUCCAGAUGAUUCUGCUUUGAGAACUGCUCGUUGGACCUCCUCUUCCUCACCGCAUGGAUUGUUCCGGAACAGCUAAAUCCAAAGAUGGCUUGUAAAAGGCCACAAAUAAUACUUUUAGUUCCUCUCCCAUAGAUUGGCGUAAUUUGUCUUGAAAUGUUUGUCUGAAGGAUGACUAAAUACAUACUAAAACUUCAAAAAUGAGACAUAGUUGAGUGUAAGUGAUCCUCUGGGACGGAUAAAAGCCUUCAUAUUUCAGGGCUGAGUCAUUGGGCAGCUCGUCUCGUUUUAGAUGCCAAUUAAUAGCACCCAUUCACUUUCGUUCUGUAGUAAAGAGCAGCUUGGACUUCAUGCAAAAUAUAUGAUGGAUGCAAUCGAACACCACAAGGACAAACAGAGUCAGAGAGAGAAUUCGACAGAACCUUGACUCCGGACCCCUGGGAUGCCCUCCUGCUGAAGAUGUGAGACUGUGAGGUUAUUUUAAGCAGCACAUUGGACCUCAUUCUGAAUGCAAAGAGAGCCUAGGGGUAAAGAGACGAGGUGAGAGGACAAUGCCAGCGGUUGAGUAGAAUAACAUUUCAGAAGGGAGUUUAAAAGCAGCUUUUUCCAGCUCAGUUUGCCACUGCAGGCCCAUUGACCAGAAUCAUUUCCAACCUUUUUGACAUUCACAGUUAAACAGCCUGUUUUUGUUACUAUGGAAGCUUGUUUCAGCCAAGGAAUAAUAAAAAAAGGGAAGUGCAAAUUUAUAUGCA